This 269-nucleotide ribosomal RNA is filed under the name uncultured bacterium. Its description in RNAcentral is "partial 16S ribosomal RNA". It matches the Rfam family "Bacterial small subunit ribosomal RNA", at positions 565 to 832 of the family's 1533-position model. The record is from RNAcentral. RNAcentral also lists the same sequence under 3 other names.
GAGCACGUAGGUGGGUUUGUAAGUCAGACGUGAAAGCCUUCUGUUCAACGGAAGAAUUGCAUCUGAAACUACAAACCUUGAGUGUAGGAGGGGAGAAUGGAACUUCUGGUGGAGCGGUGAAAUGCGUAGAUAUCAGAAGGAACGCCGGCGGCGAAAGCGAUUCUCUGGCCUAUUACUGACACUCAGUGUGCGAAAGCUAGGGGAGCAAACGGGAUUAGAUACCCCGGUAGUCCUAGCCGUAAACGAUGGGCACUAAGUAGAGGGGUUUU